CCCUUGUCUUUUGCGUACUUCUUGUUUCCUUGGUGGGUUCGCCCACCACUAGGACAAACAUAAACCUUUUGUAAUUGCAAUCAGCGUCAGUAACAAAUUAAUAAUUACAACUUUCAACAACGGAUCUCUUGGUUCUGGCAUCGAUGAAGAACGCAGCGAAAUGCGAUAAGUAGUGUGAAUUGCAGAAUUCAGUGAAUCAUCGAAUCUUUGAACGCACAUUGCGCCCUUUGGUAUUCCAAAGGGCAUGCCUGUUCGAGCGUCAUUUGUACCCUCAAGCUUUGCUUGGUGUUGGGCGUCUUGUCUCUAGCUUUGCUGGAGACUCGCCUUAAAGUAAUUGGCAGCCGGCCUACUGGUUUCGGAGCGCAGCACAAGUCGCACUCUCUAUCAGCAAAGGUCUAGCAUCCAUUAAGCCUUUUUUUCAACUUUUGACCUCGGAUCAGGUAGGGAUACCCGCUGAACUUAAGCAUAU
Molecule: ribosomal RNA, 469 nt
Filed under: Alternaria tenuissima
Lineage: Eukaryota; Fungi; Ascomycota; Dothideomycetes; Pleosporales; Pleosporaceae
Description: eukaryotic LSU rRNA
Rfam family: 5.8S ribosomal RNA (bases 109-262)
Source: RNAcentral